Molecule: ribosomal RNA, 490 nt
Filed under: uncultured bacterium
Lineage: Bacteria
Description: partial 16S ribosomal RNA
Rfam family: Bacterial small subunit ribosomal RNA
Source: RNAcentral
AUUGAACGCUGGCGGCAUGCUUUACACAUGCAAGUCGGACGGCAGCACAGAGAAGCUUGCGUCUUGGGUGGCGAGUGUCGAACGGUUGAUUAAUAUAUCGGAACGUACCGAGUAAUGGGGGAUAACUAAUCGAAAGAUUAGCUAAUACAGCAUAUUCUCUGAGGAGGAAAGCAGGGGACCUUCGGGCCUUGCGUUAUUCGAAAGGCCGUGAUCUGCUUAGCUAGUUGGUGGGGUAAAGGCAUACCAAAGCGACGAUGAGUAGCGGGUCUGAGAGGAUCAUCCGCCACCCUGUGACUGAGACACGGCCGCGACACCUACAGGGAGCAGCAGUGGGGACUCUUGGACAAUGGGGGAGAGCGUAAUCCAGCCAUGCCGCGUGUCUGAAGAAGCCCUUAUGGUUCGAAAGGAAUUUUGUCAGGGAAGUAAAGGCUGUUGCUAAUACCGAAAGAUGAUGACGGUACCUGAAGAAUAAGCACCGGCUAACUACGUG